Molecule: transfer RNA, 70 nt
Filed under: Marmota monax (woodchuck)
Lineage: Eukaryota; Metazoa; Chordata; Mammalia; Rodentia; Sciuridae
Description: tRNA.Ala
Source: RNAcentral
UUGGGGCUGGGGCAGUGGUAGAGUGUUGCCUAGCAUGCACAAAGCCCUGGGUUCAAUUCCCGGCACCAAA